This is a small nuclear RNA of Meriones unguiculatus (Mongolian gerbil), 104 nucleotides long. The record is from RefSeq and is a predicted model, not a curated record. NCBI's taxonomy places the organism in Eukaryota, Metazoa, Chordata, Mammalia, Rodentia, Muridae.
GUGCUCUCUUCAACAGCACAUAUACUAAAAUUGGAACAUUACCGAGAAGUUCAUGGCCCCUGUGUAAGUAUGAUAUGCAAAUUCGUGAAGCAUUCCAUAUUUUU